RNAcentral lists this ribosomal RNA (466 nucleotides) under uncultured bacterium. Its description in RNAcentral is "partial 16S ribosomal RNA". It matches the Rfam family "Bacterial small subunit ribosomal RNA", at positions 28 to 506 of the family's 1533-position model. The record is from RNAcentral.
GACGAACGCUGGCGGCGUGCUUAACACAUGCAAGUCGAACGGAAAGGCCCUGCUUUUGUGGGGUGCUCGAGUGGCGAACGGGUGAGUAACACGUGAGUAACCUGCCUUGACUUUGGGGUAACUUCAGGGAACUGGGGCUAAUACCGGGUAGGAGGUUCUGCUGGAUGGUGGGGGUUGGAAAGUUUCGGCGGGUGGGGAUGGACUCGCGGGUUAUCGGUUUGUUGGUGGGGGAGGGGUUUACCAAGGGUUUGGCGGGUAGCCGGCCUGAGGGGGUGCCCGGCCACAUGGGGACUGAGAGACGCCCCAGACCCCGAGGGGAGGCAGCAGUGGGAAAUAUGGAACAGGGGGCGGAAGCCGGAUGCAGCAACCCCGCGUGCGGGAGGACGCCCUGCGGGUUGAAACCCGCUUUCGCCUGUGACGAAGGGUGAGUGAGUGUAAUGGGUAAAGAAGCCCCGGCUAACUACGU